This 301-nucleotide ribosomal RNA is filed under the name uncultured bacterium. RNAcentral describes it as "partial 16S ribosomal RNA". It matches the Rfam family "Bacterial small subunit ribosomal RNA", at positions 509 to 808 of the family's 1533-position model. The record is from RNAcentral.
CAGUAGCCGCGGGAAUACGUAGGUCCCGGGCGUUGUCCGGAUUUAUUGGGCGUAAAGGGAGCGCAGGCGGUUUAGUAAGUCUGAAGUUAAAGGCAUUGGCUCAACCAAUGUAUGCUUUGGGAACUGUUAGACUUGAGUGCAGAAGGGGAGAGUGGAAUUCCAUGUGUAGCGGUGAAAUGCGUAGAUAUAUGGAGGAACACCGGUGGCGAAAGCGGCCCUCUGGUCUGUCACUGACGCUGAGGCUCGAAAGCGUGGGUAGCGAACAGGAUUAGAUACCCCGGUAGUCCCUGUCUCUUAUACC